GACGUAGGGCGCGAGCGUUGUCCGGAUUUAUUGGGCGUAAAGAGCUCGUAGGCGGCUUGUCGCGUCAACUGUGAGAACCCGUGGCUCAACCAUGUGGUCUGCAGUCGAUACGGGCAGGCUAGAAUUCGGUAGGGGAGACUGGAAUUCCUGGUGUAGCGGUGAAAUGCGCAGAUAUCAGGAGGAACACCGGUGGCGAAGGCGGGUCUCUGGGCCGAUAUUGACGCUGAGGAGCGAAAGCGUGGGGAGCGAACAGG
Molecule: ribosomal RNA, 254 nt
Filed under: uncultured bacterium
Lineage: Bacteria
Description: partial 16S ribosomal RNA
Rfam family: Bacterial small subunit ribosomal RNA
Source: RNAcentral